This 204-nucleotide long non-coding RNA is filed under the name Chlamydomonas reinhardtii. Its description in RNAcentral is "long non-coding RNA (CREI_LNC000326)". The record is from RNAcentral. Lineage: Eukaryota; Viridiplantae; Chlorophyta; Chlorophyceae; Chlamydomonadales; Chlamydomonadaceae.
UCGUCAUCAGCUUAUCUGGCGCCCCAUGUGUUUUAGCUCUGGCUGGCGUCGCAGCGCCUGGGCGGCUGUGGGCCUUCCUGCACAGCGCGUCUUGCAGCGGGCUGGAGCCCGCGUAGUCAGCGCCACAUCUGGCCCGUUUAGUUUUCUGCUAGUGUCUCCUCUGCCGGUUCUCCUGGGGUGUUGCUUAAGCAACCGACUUGUGGG